Trichinella spiralis is the source of this 46-nucleotide non-coding RNA. The record is from Rfam. Lineage: Eukaryota; Metazoa; Nematoda; Enoplea; Trichinellida; Trichinellidae.
CAACCGGUCCUUUUCAGGACCAACAAUUAUUUUUGCUCAAUCCAAU